This 69-nucleotide transfer RNA is filed under the name Notropis stramineus (sand shiner). Its description in RNAcentral is "tRNA-Ser". The record is from RNAcentral. Lineage: Eukaryota; Metazoa; Chordata; Actinopteri; Cypriniformes; Leuciscidae.
AAGGAAGGACAGAAAUCAAUAAGUGCUGCUAAUACUUAUGCCCCGAGGUUAAAUUCCUCGGCUUCUUUA